Non-coding RNA from Pelobates cultripes (western spadefoot toad), 262 nucleotides. NCBI's taxonomy places the organism in Eukaryota, Metazoa, Chordata, Amphibia, Anura, Pelobatidae. The record is from the annotation of a GenBank genome assembly.
UGUCGACAUUAUAGUUGCGCAGGCACUUUGGUGACUCCAGAGAACCUCGGGCCAAUCGCACGUCCCCGUGACGACGACUUUGCAUUUGGAUGUCUGCCCUAUCAACUUUCAAUGCCACUUUCUGCGCCUACCAUGGUGACCAUGGGUAACGGGGAAUCAAGGUUUGAUUCCGGAGAGGGAGCCUGAGAAACGGCUACUACAUCCAAGGAAGGCAGCAGGCGCGCAAAUGACCCACUCCCGACGCGGGGAGGUAGUGACGACA